RNAcentral lists this ribosomal RNA (674 nucleotides) under uncultured fungus. RNAcentral describes it as "eukaryotic LSU rRNA". The stretch from base 278 to 430 matches the Rfam family "5.8S ribosomal RNA". Lineage: Eukaryota; Fungi. The record is from RNAcentral.
CUUGGUCAUUUAGAGGAAGUAAAAGUCGUAACAAGGUUUCCGUAGGUGAACCUGCGGAAGGAUCAUUAAAUAAUCAAUAAUCUUGGCUUGUCCAUUAUUAUCUAUUUACUGUGAACUGUAUUAUUAUUUGACAUUUGAGGGAUGUUCCAAUGUUAUAAGGAUAGACAUUGGAAAUGUUAACCGAGUCAUAAUCAGGUUUAGGCCUGGUAUCCUAUUAUUAUUUACCAAAUGAAUUCAGAAUUAAUAUUGUAACAUAGACCUAAAAAAUCUAUAAAACAACUUUUAACAACGGAUCUCUUGGUUCUCGCAUCGAUGAAGAACGUAGCAAAGUGCGAUAACUAGUGUGAAUUGCAUAUUCAGUGAAUCAUCGAGUCUUUGAACGCAACUUGCGCUCAUUGGUAUUCCAAUGAGCACGCCUGUUUCAGUAUCAAAACAAACCCUCUAUCCAACUUUUGUUGUAUAGGAUUAUUGGGGGCCUCUCGAUCUGUAUAGAUCUUGAAAUCCCUGAAAUUUACUAAGGCCUGAACUUGUUUAAAUGCCUGAACUUUUUUUUAAUAUAAAGGAAAGCUCUUGUAAUUGACUUUGAUGGGGCCUCCCAAAUAAAUCUUUUUUAAAUUUGAUCUGAAAUCAGGCGGGAUUACCCGCUGAACUUAAGCAUAUCAAUAAGCGGAGGA